RNA transcript from Gadus morhua (Atlantic cod), 6589 nucleotides. It is a transcript of the gene named brain enriched myelin associated protein 1, with no coding region annotated. The transcript has 4 exons. NCBI's taxonomy places the organism in Eukaryota, Metazoa, Chordata, Actinopteri, Gadiformes, Gadidae. The record is from RefSeq and is a predicted model, not a curated record.
GUAAACAUUAAAACACAUUGAUUAAUUGUGUCAAUCUCACGGUUGCUGUACUGCACAACAAAAAACAUUAAACUGAAAUAUCUAUUAAUUCAAAUGUGAAUGUUGAUUUUCACAAUAAAGGAAUCAGGUACAUGUAACAAAGAAGCCACUACGGACAUCAUUUCAUCGCAUAUGGAAUUGGAACCCCAUUACACUGAAAUUGCAACGCAGACCAAGAAGAUAUUUAAAGAAGAUGCCUUCACGCAGACUGAAGACAACUUUACAGAGACUGCUCUGAUCAUAUAUCCAGAAGCUGCUGCCAAAGAACAUUUUUUCGUUAAAGAACAUUUAGAAGCAGUAAUGGAAAAAGAAUCUGAGUUUCUGAUUAUUGGUGAACCUGUUUGCAAAGAGACUGCAAAUGAGAAGAGGAUGGAUUCCCAGACAAACCUGAUUGUUUUCAGUGAGGUGGUCAUCGUGGAGAGCAAUGGGCUGCAGGAGAAGGAGGUGCACGGAGCAGAGAGCAUGGAAGUCUCAGAGGAGCUGGAAGUCAGCGAAAUCAAAACAGAAAUGGUUGUUGAUCAGUUAACCAAUGUCCUUGAGAUAAGAAACACUGAACCAUUGCAAGGAAAUGUCACAAAAGAAUCAGUUCAAGAAGAACUAGGAACCUGCUACAAAGAAGGAGAUCCCCUUUCCAAACAUGCCUCAGCAGAAGUAGCGCCCAGAAAGCUUCCAGAAAAUACUGAUUGUACUCUGGCUGUAUAUGAGGCUGAUUUGGUGUCCACUGAUGACAUGCCGGUCAAAAUGUCAGCAGAAGCCAUAGCUCAUAGAGAUCUAAUUGAGUGCAAAACUGAAGAAACUGAAACUGUUCAUAUUCAAGAAUCUGAAACAGAGCCGAAAGGAUUGGGCCCUGCAUGUGCAACUGAGUUUUCCACAGAAGAAGCUAGAGAUGGUUCCACUCUCAAAACCGAAGUUGUCCAUUCUACUCUUCGGGUUAUGAUGGACAGCGAUGACUCCCCGGGAAAUCUGCCAGUUAUUCAAUUGAUGGAAAACAAUUCUGAUAUUUUACCUGCAAUUCCAGAACCUACAGUGACUCGAGUUCCUGCAGGAGAAAUUCAGGUUCCUGAGUGUCAGCAGGAAACGCCAAUCAAGGACAGUACUCCUCUUGAAGAAGUUAUCCAUGAGAAUGUUGACACAGAAAGACUAGUGGAUUGGCUUAAUCCCUCAAACGGAAAUAACCUUGAAGAAGAAGAGACUUCAGCUGAAAAGAUGAGUGUGGCGGUCAUGGAUGUGCCAUCACAAAUAUGGAAGCCUUUCGUUCCAGAUGACAAAGACCUAGAAUUCCAACCUCGCCCAGAAUCCUUCCUCAAAGAACCUUUGACUGAAAACGUUACUACAGUAGAAGAAGAGAUUAAAGAUGACAAGAGGAUGGAUUCCAAGACAAACCAGAUUGUAUUCAGUGAAGUGGUCAUCGUGGAGAGCAAUGGGCUGCAGGAGAAGGAGGUGCACGGAGUGGAGAGCAUGGACGUCUCAGUGGAGCAUGAAGUCAGAGAAAUCAAAACGAACAUGGUUGUUGAUCAGGUAACCAAUGUCCUUCAGAUGAAAAAUACUGAACCUGUGCAAGUAAAUGCCACAAAAGAAUCCAUUCUAGAAGAACCGGAAACCUUCUAUCAAGAAGGAGAUUCCCUUUCCAAACAUGCCUCAGCAGAAGUAGUGCCCAGAAAGCUUCUAGAAAAUACUGAUUGUACUCUGGCUGUAUAUGAGGCUGAUUUAGUGUCCACUGAUGACAUGCCAGUCAAAAUGUCAGCACAAGCCAUAGCUCAUAGAGUUCUAAUUGAGUGCAAAACUGAAGAAACUGAAACUGUUCAUAUUCAAGAAUCUGAAACAGAGCCGAAAAGAUCAGGCCCUGCAUGUGCAACUGAGUUUUCCACAGAAGAAGCUAGAGAUGAUUCCACUCUCAAAACCGAAGUUGUCCAUUCUACUCUUCGGGUUGUGACGGACAGCGAUGACUCCCCGGGAAAUCUGCCAGUUAUUCAAAUGAUGGAAAACAAUUCUGAUAUUUUACCUGCAAUUCCAGAACCUACAGUGACUCGAGUUCCUGCAGGAGAAAUUCAGGUUCCUGAGUGUCAGCAGGAAACGCCAAUCAAGGACAGUACUCCUCUUGAAGAAGUUAUCCAUGAGAAUGUUGACACAGAAAGACUAGUGGAUUGGCUUAAUCCCUCAAACGGAAAUAACCUUGAAGAAGAAGAGACUUCAGCUGAAAAGAUGAGUGUGGCGGUCAUGGAUGUGCCAUCACAAAUAUGGAAGCCUUUCGUUCCAGAUGACAAAGACCUAGAAUUCCAACCUCGCCCAGAAUCCUUCCUCAAAGAACCUUUGACUGAAAACGUUACUUCAGUAGAAGAAGAGAUUAAAGAUGACAAGAGGAUGGAUUCCAAGACAAACCAGAUUGUAUUCAGUGAAGUGGUCAUCGUGGAGAGCAAUGGGCUGCAGGAGAAGGAGGUGCACGGAGUGGAGAGCAUGGACGUCUCAGUGGAGCAUGAAGUCAGAGAAAUCAAAACGAACAUGGUUGUUGAUCAGGUAACCAAUGUCCUUGAGAUGAAAAAUACUGAACCUGUGCAAGUAAAUGCCACAAAAGAAUCCAUUCUAGAAGAACCGGAAACCUUCUAUCAAGAAGGAGAUUCCCUUUCCAAACAUGCCUCAGCAGAAGUAGCGCCCAGAAAGCUUCUAGAAAAUACUGAUUGUACUCUGGCUGUAUAUGAGGCUGAUUUAGCGUCCACUGAUGACAUGCCAGUCAAAAUGUCAGCACAAGCCAUAGCUCAUAGAGUUCUAAUUGAGUGCAAAACUGAAGAAACUGAAACUGUUCAUAUUCAAGAAUCUGAAACAGAGCCGAAAAGAUCAGGCCCUGCAUGUGCAACUGAGUUUUCCACAGAAGAAGCUAGAGAUGGUUCCACUCUCAAAACCGAAGUUGUCCAUUCUACUCUUCGGGUUGUGACGGACAGCGAUGACUCCCCGGGAAAUCUGCCAGUUAUUCAAAUGAUGGAAAACAAUUCUGAUAUUUUACCUGCAAUUCCAGAACCUACAGUGACUCGAGUUCCUGCAGGAGAAAUUCAGGUUCCUGAGUGUCAGCAGGAAACGCCAAUCAAGGACAGUACUCCUCUUGAAGAAGUUAUCCAUGAGAAUGUUGACACAGAAAGACUAGUGGAUUGGCUUAAUCCCUCAAAGGGAAAUAACCUUGAAGAAGAAGAGACCUCAACUGAAAAGAUGAGUGUGGUGGUCAUGGAUGUGCCAUCAGAAAUAUGGGAGCCUUUCGUUCCAGAUGACAAAGACCUAGAAUUCCAAACUCACCCGGACUCCUUCCUCAAAGAACUUUUGACUGAAAACGUUACUACAGAGGAAGAAGAGAUUAAAGAUGACAAGAGGAUGGAUUCCAAGACAAACCAGAUUGUAUUCAGUGAAGUGGUCAACGUGGAGAGCAAUGGGCUGCAGGAGAAGGAGGUGCACGGAGUGGAGCAUGAAGUCAGCGAAAUCAAAACAACCAUGGUUGUUGAUCAGGUAACCAAUGUCCUUGAGAUGAAAAAUACUGAACCUGUGCAAGUAAAUGCCACAAAAGAAUCCAUUCUAGAAGAACUGGAAACCUUCUAUCAAGAAGGAGAUUCCCUUUCCAAACAUGCCUCAGUAGAAGUAGCUCCCAGAAAGCUUCCAGAAAAUACUGAUUGUACUCUGGCUGUAUAUGAGGCUGAUUGUAUUCUGGCUGUAUAUGAGGCUGAUUUAGUGUCCACUGAUGACAUGCCAGUCAAAAUGUCAGCAGAAGCCAUAGCUCAUAGAGUACUAAUUGAGUGCAAAACUGAAGAAACUGAAACUGUUCAUAUUCAAGAAUCUCAAACAGAGCCGAAAGGAUCAGGCCCUGCAUGUGCAAAUGAGUUUUCCACAGAAGAAGCUAGAGAUGGUUCCACUCUCAAAACCGAAGUUGUCCAUUCUACUCUUCGGGUUGUGACGGACAGCGAUGACUCCCCGGGAAGUCUGCCAGUUAUUCAAAUGAUGGAAAACAAUUCUGAUAUUUUACCUACAAUUCCAGAACCUACAGUGACUCGAGUUCCUGCAGGAGAAAUUCAGGUUCCUGAGUGUCAGCAGGAAACGCCAAUCAAGGACAGUACUCCUCUUGAAGAAGUUAUCCAUGAGAAUGUUGACACAGAAAGACUAGUGGAUUGGCUUAAUCCCUCAAACGGAAAUAACCUUGAAGAAGAAGAGACUUCAGCUGAAAAGAUGAGUGUGGCGGUCAUGGAUGUGCCAUCACAAAUAUGGGAGCCUUUCUUUCCAGAUGACAAAGACCUAGAAUUCCAACCUCGCCCAGAAUCCUUCCUCAAAGAACCUUUGACGGCAAGGAUUACUACAGAGGAAGAAGAGAUUGCCAUACCUGAUAAGUCUUUUCCAAUGACAGAACAACAAGAAUACAAUCCUGUUAUCUAUGCUUUCAACACUAAUAAUCAACACCUGAUUGCUGAAGUGGUACCGGAGUCUGCCAUCCAUUCUCUCAUUAAUUAUUUUGAAGGUAUUGUCCCUGCUGGACCUUCUGUUGAAGCCAACAUAUGUUGUCUUCAAGUUGUGGAAAAGACACUCAGUGCUACACAUGUGAUGCCUCUUUUUGGGGACUUUGACCCUCUACUUGACAAUGUCAUCUCGCCCAAAGAAGAGUCUGUUGCCGAAAAGGUUUUAGAAGCAGCAAUUGAUGCCAUGUCUAAUGAACUCAUCAUUGUCGCCGAAAGUUCUGAUGAAUAAUCCAGCAGAAAUGAACCCCCCAAUGUACUAUUGGAAGGACUCAUGGAGUCCAGCCUUCAAGAUCUUGAAAAGGUACAACUGGAGGAUACCAGCCCUGAGGAUUUGUUAAUGGAUUGCAUUGAACAAAGGUUGAAUCUUAAAGACACAAAAAUGACUGAGGCAGCCGACCAGUUCCCUGAAAUACCGAAACAAUGUUCGCAAGACACUGUUAAUAUCUUCGUUGAUGAAUAGCUACAGGUCAUGAUUAACGGAUAUCAAGAGAAUGUAACCCAAGAGAUAUCAAACGUUGAUGAGGAUUCUAAAAAAUUAAAGGAAGAACCGCUGAUUUAAUGUCUCCCACUGAUGAGAAAACGUUAGAACCGAGUGCAAACCCUGUUGGAGAAGAAUCGCAAAUUCCCAAGUGGAUUACAGCGCAUGCUGUGAAUGACAUGGAAGAAAUAAACAUUUCCACGGAUGCUGCUGAAACCAAAAAACACUUUUGUUCCUUUGGGUGAUCCAGUUAUGGAGAUGGAGCCACUAGAGGGGGCACACCGGGCAAUUGAACUCAAUGAAAUAGAUAGUAGAUAGAUAGUACUAAAGAAUAUGAACGCAUUGAAGUGACAAUGGAACAUAGGGCAUUACCGCUAGAAUGUGAAGAACCAAACAAUACAUACACAGUCAACACUUUGGAUGACAGUGAACAAAACGUGUCUGUUUUAUUGAAGGGGAUGCAGUCAUGCUGACAACAUCAACUGUGGAAGAGUCAGCAUCAAAUCUUGAAAUUGUUGAAACAUCUUCAUUCCUUGUCCUGUUAUGAUGAAUGUGAAGCUAAAUGAAGAUGAGAAAUAGCAAAUACUUUAUAAUAUAAUCAAGCUAUUCAUUUGCUCCUGUUUUAUGUCAGUUAUGACGUUUACAUUGUAGAAUGUCUGAUUUGCAUUUUUAAACAAUGAUUUCUGUUUACAUUAGAAAGGGCGGAUAGCUCUCCAUUAUAAUGUAGUGUCAGGCAAUGUAGCAAUUUUCAAUAAAAAUCUAAGAACUGUUGGUGAGAUGGCUCCUUUUUUGUUGUUACUAUUAUUUUAACAUUUCACAUUAUUUAAAAUUGUGACAACUGUGCAAUACAUAAACGUGUGCUAUUAAAGUCUGAAUAGUUAACGUCAACAACGUUAAUGUAGUAACAUUCACUCAUUGGGGAAAACUUUACAAUAUGUAAAGAGUCUUGUUAUUACAACACAGGAAGGGACCAAAUAUUUCUGACAUUUCUCAGAGCAUAUCGCCUAGGCAUUGUUGAAUAUCAAUGAGUGUGUGUGUGUGGAGGGGGGGCACGGGCAUUAAUAAAAGGGUGAUUGUUGCCAUGGGCCUGAGUAGGCAGAGGCAUGGUUGGAAUUGUGCUCCCAUCUCAAUGCUGCGAUUAAACACACUCACUGCUUGCAUAUCAGCUUCACUUCUACUUCUACUUCUCAAAGGCAAAUUCUUUGUGGCAUAUAGGAGCAAGCCGACACAGCGAAGAAUCAAGACUCAGAGACGCUUGAGGAGCCAAAAAGUGUGACUUUAGAUCUUAAACUAGCAGCAGGACAAACUGAUAACGACGAUCAAAAGAGUCAACCAGAGGAGAAAAAAGAGGAGAGCGACCAGAAUCCAGUUAUGAACUUCUUCAAAACACUAAUAUAUUUUUUCUUGUAAUACAGGUGACUCCUACUAAAUCGCAAAAAAAGGAAACAGCUACCCCUGAUGUUACAAAAGAUCAGCCCCCGAAGGAGACUCCGCCAACAGUAGCCUCUACAACUGUCGCACAAGUACCUGAGCCUCCGGCUGCAGCCAAAGGAAUGUCUAUCCCACCUCCCCCUCCUCCAGAACCGCC